GAGGAAAAGAAACCAACAGGGAUUGCCUCAGUAACGGCGAGUGAAGCGGCAAGAGCUCAACUUUGGAAUCGCUCCGGCGAGUUGUAGUCUGGAGGUGGCCACCACGAGGUGUUCUAGCAGCAGGCAAGUCCUUUGGAACAAGGCGCCAGCGAGGGUGACAGCCCCGUACCUGCUUUUGCUAGUGCUUCCUGUGGCCCACCGACGAGUCGAGUUGUUUGGGAAUGCAGCUCUAAGUGGGUGGUAAAUUCCAUCUAAGGCUAAAUAUUGGCGAGAGACCGAUAGCGAACAAGUACAGUGAUGGAAAGAUGAAAAGCACUUUGAAAAGAGAGUGAAACAGUACGUGAAAUUGUUGAAAGGGAAGGGCUUGCACCCAGACACGGUUUCGGCCGGGCCAGCAUCAAGUAGAACGGGGUUAAAAGACCUGGGGAAUGUAGCUACCUCUUGGUAGUGUUAUAGCCCUUGGGUGAUGACCCCUGUUUUGCUUGAGGACAGCGGUCUCUAGGAUGCUGGCGCAAUGGUUGCAAGCCACCC
This 531-nucleotide ribosomal RNA is filed under the name Candidozyma auris. RNAcentral describes it as "[Candida] auris partial 26S ribosomal RNA". It matches the Rfam family "Eukaryotic large subunit ribosomal RNA", at positions 53 to 650 of the family's 3401-position model. The record is from RNAcentral. Lineage: Eukaryota; Fungi; Ascomycota; Pichiomycetes; Serinales; Metschnikowiaceae.